GGAGUCAUGUUUGGAUGGAGCGACAGGCACAUGGAUUUCCUGCAUGGAUUUCGUCCUUUUGGAUUUAUGGCGGCGGAAAGGAAGGAGCGAGGGUGUUGAGCGCAGGGGAUGGAGAACCGUGUCUCAUCCUUCCUCAAGUACCAGGGCAGAGUUGGGGUAUCGCCUAAGGAAGUGGCUGAAGCUGCCUUGCACUGAGGAGAAGCUGUCAAGUUCCUGUCAAGAUCCUCAGCAAAUCCGUACUUGUGAUGGAAUAAUUGACGGAACGUCAGGCAGUUAAGCAAUUAAGACACGCUCCGCUGACUGACAGGCCUCCUAUUUUCGCAGCUAUCGGAGACUGCAAGGAGUCGUCUGUCUUGGGCCUCUUGGGAGCAGGAGGGUCAGACGGGACCUACACCAAGCAAGAGAGAAAAGAAAAGAGAAAGGUUGAAUGGGCGGUUCUCGUUUUUAAAUGGCAGUGAAAAAUGGCAUCACGUGGAGGUCAAGCAACCACCGGCUCAAGCCCGAUACAUUGAAGUGAGGCCCAACCUUUUGGCUACCCACCAUGUAUGACGAAGAAAAAACCCCCUAAGUAUCUACCAAGGCAAGAAACAAGACCAGCAGAACAGAGCUGCAGAGAGGAGACCUUCUCAAGAAGAGUUUCUGCUCCUGCCCCCCGUCAAACUGGUCUGUUGCCUCCUCUUCUAAUUGUCUGCAGAAAGCUGCAGAAAGAACUUUGUGGUCGAGGCUCGUGUCGGGACACUUGGGGCGCCGAGAGGGGCAGGGUCUACACACGAUGGCCAUACUGGAAUAACACCACCGAAACAUAAAGACGAACCGUAUCGAAGCACCGCUGAGAACAAAGCAUCGGCUCCUGAAGGAAGGAUCGGGGCCGAGGCCGGGACCGGAGAAAUGCACCAUCGGCCACCCCACGAAGGCGCAACCCCCUUGCAUUGUGCUUUCCCUGGGGCACUCUGUUCUGUGGCGAGGCAAUGGGAACACCACUCCUUAAAGCACUCCUA
Molecule: long non-coding RNA, 998 nt
Organism: Hemicordylus capensis (graceful crag lizard)
Lineage: Eukaryota; Metazoa; Chordata; Lepidosauria; Squamata; Cordylidae
Exons: 5
Source: RefSeq, a predicted model, not a curated record